RNAcentral lists this ribosomal RNA (682 nucleotides) under Shigella flexneri. RNAcentral describes it as "partial 23S ribosomal RNA". It matches the Rfam family "Bacterial large subunit ribosomal RNA", at positions 2248 to 2925 of the family's 2925-position model. The record is from RNAcentral. Lineage: Bacteria; Pseudomonadati; Pseudomonadota; Gammaproteobacteria; Enterobacterales; Enterobacteriaceae.
CGGACAGUGUCUGGUGGGUAGUUUGACUGGGGCGGUCUCCUCCUAAAGAGUAACGGAGGAGCACGAAGGUUGGCUAAUCCUGGUCGGACAUCAGGAGGUUAGUGCAAUGGCAUAAGCCAGCUUGACUGCGAGCGUGACGGCGCGAGCAGGUGCGAAAGCAGGUCAUAGUGAUCCGGUGGUUCUGAAUGGAAGGACCAUCGCUCAACGGAUAAAAGGUACUCCGGGGAUAACAGGCUGAUACCGCCCAAGAGUUCAUAUCGACGGCGGUGUUUGGCACCUCGAUGUCGGCUCAUCACAUCCUGGGGCUGAAGUAGGUCCCAAGGGUAUGGCUGUUCGCCAUUUAAAGUGGUACGCGAGCUGGGUUUAGAACGUCGUGAGACAGUUCGGUCCCUAUCUGCCGUGGGCGCUGGAGAACUGAGGGGGGCUGCUCCUAGUACGAGAGGACCGGAGUGGACGCAUCACUGGUGUUCGGGUUGUCAUGCCAAUGGCACUGCCCGGUAGCUAAAUGCGGAAGAGAUAAGUGCUGAAAGCAUCUAAGCACGAAACUUGCCCCGAGAUGAGUUCUCCCUGACCCUUUAAGGUCCUGAAGGAACGUUGAAGACGACGACGUUGAUAGGCCGGGUGUGUAAGCGCAGCGAUGCGUUGAGCUAACCGGUACUAAUGAACCGUGAGGCUUAACCUU